Bolinopsis microptera is the source of this 310-nucleotide long non-coding RNA. RefSeq lists it as uncharacterized. NCBI's taxonomy places the organism in Eukaryota, Metazoa, Ctenophora, Tentaculata, Lobata, Bolinopsidae. The record is from RefSeq and is a predicted model, not a curated record. The transcript has 3 exons.
GAUGAUCCUUGGUAAUGAGAACUUGUCCACUAUAUCUGUCACACUGAGGUAGAAGGAGUCAAAGUAUCCUCCUCGCUGUAUUAACUCUCUGACAAGUGACAAGUAGUAACGCUCUAGUUCUCUUCAAAACAGUAGACCAAGGGUUUCCUUCUCCUGAGAACAAAGGUAAACGGUCAAGCAAAGUGUGCAAGGUCGUUGAUGGAGUAUUCCAUGUGAAAUCCUCUCACCAGUCUGAGCCCCACCAACUGAACAUCAGAGGACCAACUUGCACCUGCAGAAACUUCAGCAGGACUCACAUCCCCUGCAGACA